ACCGCAGACCGCCUUAUCGUCCGUGUGUAAACAUGGUAGGAAAGUCCGGACACCAAAGAGUAGCAUAGCGGGUAACGCCCGUCCGUUGAAAGGCGAGGACAAGUGCAACAGAAAGUAUGUACAGGUAAUGCUGUAGUGAAACCAGGUAAACUCUAUGCGGUGAAAUGUCAAGUAUAUCAGCAGUUUCUGAGUAAUCAGAAUAAGGGCGACUCGUCCGAUGUUGAAGGGUAGACAGCUUGAGUCACGCAGUAAUGCGUGAUCUAGAUAAAUGAUAAGGGUCCGUCAUUGGCGCGAUACAGAAUCCGGCUUAUAGGUCUGCAUUUUUU
This is a non-coding RNA of Flavobacteria bacterium GWF1_32_7, 326 nucleotides long. The record is from Rfam. NCBI's taxonomy places the organism in Bacteria, Pseudomonadati, Bacteroidota, Flavobacteriia.